AUUGAAACACUGGCUUCCAUACAAUCACUGAAGUUAAGCAAUGUCAAGCUUGGUUAGUAACUAGAUGGGUGAUCACUUGGGAUAGCAGGUGCUGUAAG
Non-coding RNA from Acanthosepion pharaonis, 98 nucleotides. NCBI's taxonomy places the organism in Eukaryota, Metazoa, Mollusca, Cephalopoda, Sepiida, Sepiidae. The record is from the annotation of a GenBank genome assembly.